RNAcentral lists this ribosomal RNA (433 nucleotides) under uncultured bacterium. RNAcentral describes it as "partial 16S ribosomal RNA". It matches the Rfam family "Bacterial small subunit ribosomal RNA", at positions 29 to 507 of the family's 1533-position model. The record is from RNAcentral.
AACGAACGCUGGCGGCAUGCCUAACACAUGCAAGUCGAACGAGACCUUCCGGUCUAGUGGCGCACGGGUGCGUAACGCGUUGUAACCUGCCCUUACGUUCGGAAUCACUCCCCGAAAGGUGUGCUAAUACCGGUUAAUGUCUUCGGACCAAAGAUUUAUCGCCUUUGUAUGGGCCCGCGUUGGAUUAGCUGGUUGGUAGGGUAAAAGCCUACCAAGGCGACGAUCCAUAGCUGGUCGGAGAGGAUGAUCAGCCACACUGGGACUGAGACACGGCCCAGACUGGGACGGGAGGCAGCAGUAGAGAAGAGUGGAGAAUGAGCGAAAGCCUGAUCAAGCAAUGCGGCGUGAGUGAUGAAGGCCGUAGGGAUGUAAAGCUAUUUGACCCGGGAUGAUAAUGACAGUACCGGGAGAAUAAGCUCCGGCUAACUCCGUG